This 253-nucleotide ribosomal RNA is filed under the name uncultured bacterium. Its description in RNAcentral is "partial 16S ribosomal RNA". It matches the Rfam family "Bacterial small subunit ribosomal RNA", at positions 524 to 776 of the family's 1533-position model. The record is from RNAcentral.
UACGUAGGGUGCGAGCGUUGUCCGGAAUUACUGGGCGUAAAGAGCUCGUAGGUGGUUUGUCGCGUUGUCCGUGAAAACUCACAACUCAAUUGUGGGCGUGCGGGCGAUACGGGCAGACUGGAGUACUGCAGGGGAGACUGGAAUUCCUGGUGUAGCGGUGGAAUGCGCAGAUAUCGAGAGGAACACCUGCGGCGAAGGCGGGUUGCUGGGCUGACACUGACGCUGAAGCGCGAAAGCUAGGGGAGCGAACGGG